AAGUCGUAACAAGGUUUCCGUAGGUGAACCUGCGGAAGGAUCAUUAACACUGUUUUUCAAAAACAAACAGUUUUAAAAACCCCAAAACUUCAUGCGUGAACACGAGAAUUUUUUGUUCUCGUCCCCCCCUCCCUAUUUUUUUUUUCCAAACCCCAAUUCAAUUUCAACUCUUUUUUCUUCUCCGCGAAGAAAAAGAACUGAAAACAUGUAUAAAAUAUCGCUCUGAUAUUUUAUCUUUUUUUGAAAUGCUGAACAACUCUUAACAACGGAUAUCUUGGUUCUC
RNAcentral lists this unclassified non-coding RNA (283 nucleotides) under fungal sp. RNAcentral's name for it is "partial internal transcribed spacer region". The stretch from base 1 to 46 matches the Rfam family "Eukaryotic small subunit ribosomal RNA", at positions 1786 to 1831 of the family's 1831-position model. Lineage: Eukaryota; Fungi. The record is from RNAcentral.